Molecule: long non-coding RNA, 1413 nt
Organism: Photinus pyralis (common eastern firefly)
Lineage: Eukaryota; Metazoa; Arthropoda; Insecta; Coleoptera; Lampyridae
Exons: 5
Source: RefSeq, a predicted model, not a curated record
UGUCAAAAAAGAUGGCAACUAAGUGUUCCCUUUUACGAAAAGCUUCCUGUAUAGCUUGUUCCAAUAGGAGAAGGUGAUCGGUGGUGGAUCGAUUUUUCCUAAAACCAGCCUGACACGGUACAUACAGGUUGUUUUUUUCAAGCACGUAAGGCUUAUUGGACGAUAGCUGGCAGGAUCUAAAGGAGUUUUUCCAGGUUUACGGACCGGUAUAACCACCGCCUCCUUCCAUUCAUCCGGGUGUGAGAUUAAUGAGCAUUUCAUUGGAGAUGCAAUCGCGCCCGGGUGCUGUUUUUUUUUUUGCAAUGUCGAAGCGCAAACUCCAUUUCUUUUAAUAUAAAUGGUGCAUUAUAUUCUAGGUGACGUGCUGUAGCAAAACAUAAAUCGGUUUCCCUUUCAUUUUUUGUUUGAGAGAAGAUAUCUGGGUAGUUAGCAGAACUACUCAUAUUAGCAAAAUGAUUGGCCAACGUGUUCGCGAUCUCAAGGGAAUCUUCAGUAGUUAUAUUUUGGGAGGUACUGUUCAUAUCAGUUCUUGUUGUGAUACUUGAUGUGUACUCAUUCCAACUUUUCCGCUUGCUCUCCAGUACGAUACGUCUGCUGAUGGCUCUGGCUCGUUUAAACCCAAUGUGAUUUUCAACUGUGGGAUGCCGUUGGAUUCCACCACGGAAGAGGUCUUUUAAUAGGUUUGUCUCCCGAUUUUGGUAUGCUAAGUUCUGCCGCAUUUAGUAUUGACGCCGUCAUAGUUUGAACACUUACAUUUGCUGGAACCCGAAGACUUUCUCGAAACAGCACCCAAUUGGCUUUAUGGGCUAGAAAUCGUCUAGCUACGGUCUUUUGCGGCAUAAUCGUGUCCGUUUCAAUAAUUAUGGGGAAGUGAUCACUGUUGUGCAGGUCAUCAAUCACUCUCCACGUCAGUUUAGUCAUCAAUAUGGGUGAAACCAGAGUCAGAUCAAUAGCGUCGAAUGUAUUCGAUCGAGCAUUAUGAUACGUAGCCGAUCCUGUAUUAAGGAGGGCCACGUUAUCUCUAUUUAACCAGUUCUCAACAAUACGUCCUUUAGCAUCAUUUUUCAAAGAACCCCACAGGAAAUUAUGCACGUUAAAGUCCCCUGUCACAACAAAUGGUGCAGGUAGUUGUUCGAUAACCGUCUCAAGAUCCUCAAUAUCCCAAUCCUGAUCUGGAAGGUAAAUAUUACAUAAGGUGAUCUUUAUUCUGAUGGCGACUGCCUGAAGUCUAGUCCUUAAUGCUAGUGGUUCAAAGUACACUCCAUUUCUAAUGAAAAUAGCAACCCCACCCGAUGCUCUUUGACCGUCUGUAUAAUCCUUUCGGAUCAAGUCAUAUCCUCGUAAAGAAUAUGGUUGACGUACUUGUAAAUGUGUUUCUUGAACACACACGCACAUAGGAUUUAAAUCAUGUAA